UUGAUUUAUUUAAUCGUGUUACUCAGAAGAUACUGUAAUAAACAAAGAGUUUGGGGGUCCUCUGGCGGGCCGCCGGAGCGGGCACCGCCGAGGCAACGAUAGGUAUGUUCACAGGGGUUUGGGAGUUGUAAACUCGGUAAUGAUCCCUCCGCUGGUUCACCAACGGAGA
This 169-nucleotide unclassified non-coding RNA is filed under the name uncultured fungus. RNAcentral describes it as "sequence contains ITS1". Lineage: Eukaryota; Fungi. The record is from RNAcentral.